UGGGUGCUAGAUUUUCUCGCUGUGUUGAAGACCCAUUGGUGGCCUUGGGUUGUUGUCUCUUUGGCAUUCCCCAUUUUCAUUAUAAAUUUCAUUAAGUGAAUAUAUGCAUACAAAAUAUGCAUGGAAAUGAGAUGUGCCAGUACUCAUACAACGGAAUAUUGAAUAUCAUUGAUAUACCUUAAAUGGCUCCAAAUGAACUGACCCUAGUGAUGAGCUUAAACAAAAUGUGGCUGCCGUUGCAGGAAACAGCGUGCAUACACAAGUCUUGCUUUUCACCACUUCAAUGCAAGAUAACAAGUUUUUGGAAUUUAGCCGGUUAAUAUUCUUUUUACAGUAACAUGUUUG
This 345-nucleotide long non-coding RNA is filed under the name Mytilus galloprovincialis (Mediterranean mussel). Lineage: Eukaryota; Metazoa; Mollusca; Bivalvia; Mytilida; Mytilidae. The record is from RNAcentral.